RNAcentral lists this ribosomal RNA (383 nucleotides) under Burkholderia sp. CAS30. RNAcentral describes it as "bacterial SSU rRNA". It matches the Rfam family "Bacterial small subunit ribosomal RNA", at positions 968 to 1355 of the family's 1533-position model. The record is from RNAcentral. Lineage: Bacteria; Pseudomonadati; Pseudomonadota; Betaproteobacteria; Burkholderiales; Burkholderiaceae.
ACCUUACCUACCCUUGACAUGGUCGGAAUCCUGAAGAGAUUCGGGAGUGCUCGAAAGAGAACCGGCGCACAGGUGCUGCAUGGCUGUCGUCAGCUCGUGUCGUGAGAUGUUGGGUUAAGUCCCGCAACGAGCGCAACCCUUGUCCUUAGUUGCUACGCAAGAGCACUCUAAGGAGACUGCCGGUGACAAACCGGAGGAAGGUGGGGAUGACGUCAAGUCCUCAUGGCCCUUAUGGGUAGGGCUUCACACGUCAUACAAUGGUCGGAACAGAGGGUUGCCAACCCGCGAGGGGGAGCUAAUCCCAGAAAACCGAUCGUAGUCCGGAUUGCACUCUGCAACUCGAGUGCAUGAAGCUGGAAUCGCUAGUAAUCGCGGAUCAGCAU